RNAcentral lists this ribosomal RNA (944 nucleotides) under uncultured archaeon. RNAcentral describes it as "bacterial SSU rRNA". It matches the Rfam family "Archaeal small subunit ribosomal RNA", at positions 1 to 922 of the family's 1478-position model. The record is from RNAcentral.
UUCCGGUUGAUCCCGCCGGACCCCACUGCUAUCGGGAUAGGACUAAGACAUGCUAGUCAAGCGCUCGCCAGCCAAAGGCAAGUGCGGCGUACAGCUCAGUAACACGUGGCUAACCUGCCCUUGGGACAAGGACACCCCCGGGAAACUGGGGCUAAUCCUCGAUAGGUGAAGAACUCUGGAAUGAAUCCUCGCCCAAAAGAAGCUUGCGCUAUGCUCGUAAGCUCCGCCCAAGGAUGGGGCCGCGACCGAUCAGGUAGUUGGUGAGGCAACGGCUCACCAAGCCUUUUACCGGUGCGGGCCGUGGGAGCGGGAGCCCGGAGAUGGGCACUGAGACAAGGGCCCAGGCCCUACGGGGCGCAGCAGUCGCGAAAACUUUGCAAUACACGAAAGUGUGACAGGGCUAUCCCGAGUGCCAUCCGCUGAGGAAGGCUUUUACCCAGUGUAGAAAGCUGGGGGAAUAAGGAGAGGGCAAGACUGGUGUCAGCCGCCGCGGUAAUACCAGCUCUCCGAGUGGUGUGGAUGUUUAUUGGGCCUAAAGCAUCCGUAGCUGGCUGGACAAGUCCCCUGUUAAAUCCACCGAUUUAAUCGUUGGUGUGCGGGGGAUACUGUUUGGCUAGGGGACGGGAGAGGCCGACGGUAUUUUCGGGGUAGGGGUGAAAUCCUAUAAUCCCGGGAAGACCACCAGUGGCGAAGGCUGUCGGCUAGAACGCGCCCGACGGUGAGGGAUGAAAGCUGGGGGAGCGAACCGGAUUAGAUACCCGGGUAGUCCCAGCUGUAAACGAUGCAGGCUAGGUGUUUGGGCGGCCACGUGCCGCUCUAGUGCCGCAAGGAAGCUGUUAAGCCUGCCGCCUGGGGAGUACGGCCGCAAGGCUGAAACUUAAAGGAAUUGGCGGGGGAGCACCACAAGGGGUGAAGCUUGCGGUUUAAUUGGAUUCAACGCCGGG